GCUGUCAGCCCCUUCUCUUGGGUCACAGGGCGGGUGGGGUGGCCGGCUGUGCAGCUCGGCUGUGUGCCACCAGCCCUGUGGCAGGCUUCUCUGGCUGCCGAUGCUGGAUGGACUGGAGUGUGGGGCAGGGGACACAGGCCGGAAAAGCUGGGGCAGCCCAGAGUCCCCAGUGUGCAGGUCUUGCUCUCCCCAGGGGGAGGGGCAGCCUACAGACCUCUCCUCCCUCAAGGCCAGGCUCGCCCGUGGGGACAGGGACCAGUCAUCUCCACCUCUGACCCCACCCGACGCCGGUAGGCACCUUCAGUGACCCCUGACUUGUGUCCCUCCAGCUGCGGAGCCGCGACGGCUCUGAGUACCUGAUCCAGCACGACUCGGAGGGCGUCAUCAGCGCCUGGCACCAGGCCAUCGGGCAGGGCAUCGAGGAGCCGCCCGCAGAUCCGGCCCUGGGGGAGGACGUCGAGGCCAGCAGCGCUGACUUCAGGUCCAGCGAGAGGGAGGACGGCACAGGUGGGCCCAGCGGGGCAGGGUACGGGGACGCCCGGGUUGGGACCCAACACCCCGCUGACACCGGGGUCCCCACGCAGCCGCGCCCGCCCCGAGCCCCGGGACCCCCGAGAGCGACCUGAGCCGGGUGCGGCAGAAGCUGCGUAGGUUCCUGCAGAGGCGGCCCGACGCUGCAGUCGCGCUGCGCGAGCGGGGCUACAUCAAGGACCAGGUCUUCGGCUGUGCGCUGGCCACAUUGUGCGCGCGUGAGAAGAGCUCCGUGCCACGCUUCGUGCAGCAGUGCGUGCACGCCGUCGAGGCCCGGGGGCUGGACACGGACGGGCUGUACCGCAUCAGCGGGAACCUGGCCACCAUCCAGAAGCUCCGCUACCACGUGGACCACGAUGAGCGCCUGGACCUGGAUGACGGCCGCUGGACUGACGUCCACGUGCUCACCGGCGCGCUCAAGCUCUUCCUGCGCGAGCUGCCUGAGCCGCUCUUCCCCUUCUCGCACUUCAGCCAGUUCCUCGCAGCCAUCAAGCUGCAGGACCCAGCCCGGCGCGGCCGCUGCGUGCGGGACCUGGUGCGCUCGCUGCCCACUCCGAACCAUGACACUCUGCAGCUGCUGUUCCAGCACCUGCGCCGGGUGGUGGAACAGGGGGAGCAGAACCGCAUGUCAGUGCAGAGUGUGGCCAUCGUGUUCGGGCCCACUCUGCUGCGGCCCGAGACAGAGGAGGGCAGCAUGCCCAUGACCAUGGUGUUCCAGAACCAGGUGGUGGAGCUCAUCCUGCAGCAGUGCGCAGACAUCUUCCCGCCACCCUGAUGGCUGCCACCCACCCUUGUUGCCGCGGGUACGGCGACCUGAAGUGGGGCUUUCUCUGGGGCGUCCUCGGUGGGUGCCAGGGUAGGGGGAGCUUUUGUCUGGAGGGGGAUUCGGUGAGGGUGUUUCCUGGCUCCUUCAGGGAGGCGCCUGGCCAGAGCCCUGUGCAGGUAACCAGGAAGAGCCUGACAGGACCAUGUGACCUCCAGUCUAAGCCUCCCUGGCCCAGGAUGAAGAACUGGCUUCAUCUGCCUUCCUGUCUGUGGAUCCACAUCGGGAUCCAGUCAGUCCACUGUGUCCUGGGCAAGGUUUUUUCACACCCAUGAGCUGCGAGCCCUGGGCCUGCUAUAGAGGAGCUCUGUCAAUACAGAGCCCUGAUGCAGGAAGGAAACCAGCUCUCAAGGCCUCCCUCACCAGGGUGCGGGCUCCAGGGAGGGGACCUGGCCUCUGCCCCCCUUUCCAGCGUGGGCCAGAGAGCAGCCUGCCCCCUGUUCUGGGGGAGGAGCACGUGGCAGGGCCCUCACGCCCCUCUGCCAAGCUGGCCACUGGGGCCUACCUUGCCACAGCGCUGGGAGGGGCCUGGGGGGGACAGCCUCCGGAAAGGAGGGGUGCACCUGCCUAUCCUCAUGCACAAACCGCGGAGGCUGUGGAUCUCAGGCCCCGCCUCCCCCUUCAUGGCUCAGUGAACAAUAGUAGCUCAUUGCAUUGAGCAUCCACACCAGGCCACGCAUCCUGCCCCAGUUACCUUUGUGUCCCUUGCAGUCGGUAUUUAUUGUGUUCUUGUGUGCCAGGCACAUGCUGUCUGCCCCAUGGAGCUGGGGUCCAGGCAAGAGAUGGAGACCUCCUACCAUGCAUCUAAAUAUUUAAAAGAUGCAAAUCAAGCCAAGAACUGUGAAAUAAAAUAUGCUCUAUUCUCCUACUUUA
Molecule: long non-coding RNA, 2227 nt
Filed under: Heterocephalus glaber (naked mole-rat)
Lineage: Eukaryota; Metazoa; Chordata; Mammalia; Rodentia; Bathyergidae
Description: lncRNA (ENSHGLG00000046348.1)
Source: RNAcentral